Molecule: ribosomal RNA, 484 nt
Filed under: uncultured bacterium
Lineage: Bacteria
Description: partial 16S ribosomal RNA
Rfam family: Bacterial small subunit ribosomal RNA
Source: RNAcentral
GUUGAACGCUGGCGGCAGGCCUAACACAUGCAAGUCGAGCGGAUGAAGGGAGCUUGCUCCUGGAUUCAGCGGCGGACGGGUGAGUAAUGCCUAGGAAUCUGCCUGGUAUUGGUGUAUAACGUCCGGAAACGGGCGCUAAUACCGCAUACUUCCUGAUGGAGAAAGUGGGUGAUCUUCGGACCUCACGCUAUCAGAUGAGCCUAGGUCGGAUUAGCUAGUUGGUUGGGUAAAUGCCUACCAAGGCGACGAUCCGUAACUGGUCUGAGAGGAUGAUCAGUCACACUGGAAGUGAGACACGGUCCAGACUCCUACGGGAGGCAGCAGUGGGGAAUAUUGGACAAUGGGCGAAAGCAUGAUCCAGUCAUGCCGAGUGUGUGAAGAAGGUCUUCGGAUUGUAAAGCCCUUUAAGUUGGGAGGAAGGGCAGUAAGUUAAUACCUUGCUGUUUUGACGGUACCAACAGAAUAAGCACCGGCUAACUUCGUG